AUUGUGUGAGUUUUCACUGGUAAGCCUUGGUCUUGUUGAGUAUGUAUAAUGUCUUAAAGACAGUGCUUGUAACCUGUUUCCAUCUUACGAAAAUUAGGACGGCCGCCUGGAGGGGUAGUCCAGAAGAAAGCUAAAGUCAGAGAAAAAGAAAUCAAAGAACCAGGAAGGAAAGAGAAGCAAGAAUUAAAGAAGGAAAGCAAAGACGAAGAAAAGAAGAAACUGAAGAGAAAAGUUGAUGACUUGGACAAAAAAGAAAAAAAAGCCGCUGACAAAGCCAAGAGAGACAAAAAGGCCGAAAAGGAGAGAUCAGGGCCAGACAAAAGUGUAAAAAAUAAAGGAACAGCAAAGGAAUUAGAUAGUGGAAAAGAUAAAGACACAAAAAAGCUAGCUAAGAACCUUUCUAAAGCAUCUGAGAGUUCAGCAAAGGGAGAGGAGAAGAGAAAAAGAGUAAAGUGAUAAUAUUUUCCACACCUGAAUGAUACAGAGAACUAUUGGUCAUAAGAAAAUAGAGCACCACAAGGGAAAUUUUUGUGUUUGUUAGAAUAAACAAAAAUUACAAAGCUUUUUGCAGAAAUAGCCUUAGUAUAUUGUAUGUGUUGACUACUAUGAAAUUCCAAUUUGUACAUAGUGUAUCUGAUCAUUAACUCUUCUAUAUUCUUAUUGUACUGAGAUCAAUUAUCUAUUCUUGUUUUUGGUACCUUAUCUCACACUUAAGGCUAAUAAAGGAAAAGUUUGAAAUA
Long non-coding RNA from Heteronotia binoei (common prickly gecko), 740 nucleotides. RefSeq lists it as uncharacterized. Lineage: Eukaryota; Metazoa; Chordata; Lepidosauria; Squamata; Gekkonidae. The transcript is spliced from 2 exons. The record is from RefSeq and is a predicted model, not a curated record.